This is a long non-coding RNA of Ictalurus punctatus (channel catfish), 906 nucleotides long. RefSeq lists it as uncharacterized. The record is from RefSeq and is a predicted model, not a curated record. NCBI's taxonomy places the organism in Eukaryota, Metazoa, Chordata, Actinopteri, Siluriformes, Ictaluridae. The transcript is spliced from 3 exons.
UCACCCACCCACGCACACGCGCGCGCACGCGCGCGCACACACGCAGCAUGACUGUGAUGGAUGGAUUGCAGCUUGCUUUUCCUAAACGAACGCGAUGCCCCCAAACAACUACAUUUUGAAGUUAAGAUGUUAUAUAACCAUUUACAAAAUAAUUACAUUGUUGCUUUCUCUUUAUGGACUGAAGUACACAAUACAACACUGCUUAAAGAAAGAAAUAACAGCUAAUCAAAGGUGUGGUGUCUUUGUUCACUGAUUGGCAUGUUGACUCAGGAACUGCAAGACAGUGGUAUGUCCCCUUCUACUGUGGUGGCCAUUUCAGAGCAUCAUAACACUGUGGUUGGCAUCUCUCUGGGGUCUCAUAAGCUUAUUAUUAUGCUUGAUUAUCUGUCUUUUUUUCCCUCUAUAUUAGAUCGUAGUUCUUGUCCAUUUCUGAAUAUAGUGAUAGGUUUGUUAAUUUGGUUCUCUGUUUGAUUUCAGGGUAUUAUUUGAUUAUAUCAGACCAAUAAAUACAGUUACAAAUUGUUUUUGUCAAGCACUGAUAAAAUGCAGCAAAUCUGGAUAUUUUUCAAGGCAAUAAAACUGUAGAUUUAAACUGAGUAUAAGGAGACUGGGCUGUUCACAGGAUUCACAGGAUUGUAAUUACUGUCAUUACUGAAAUGCAUUAAACACUACAGAUUACUCCACAGUAAGAAGAGUAUUCCAGCCUGAGCGUAACUGAAAUGGUGAAAAUAACCCGAUUGAUGUCAAAUUUCUCCAUAUAUGAUUGAAACAGAAAGGAUCUGUUUUAAAUGGCUGUGUAAUACCUUUAUUGUAAAUGUAACAGCAUAAUAUUUAAUUCAUUCCAGAUCAUUUUCCAAUAUCAUUUUACCUUUCCCAUAGAUGCCAUUCAAUCUGAUCUGUCUUUGA